GGAUACAGAUUAGAUGAUCUCUCCAUCAAAUAUCUAGAAAUCUGCCUAUCUUCUCCCUGUGUCUUUCCACUGAUGAAAAUGGCUGUCCUAAUAACUCUUAUUGGGGGGGGUUUUUUUUUUUUUCUUUUUAAUAAACCCUAUCUAUCUGCGAAUCUGCGAGCGAAGGCCUGCUCACGUUAGAUGUUAUCUAUACAAAGGUUGAAGAUUUGAAAAUGGUGAUUGUUUUUAUUCACGGCCUGCUCGUAAGUGUGUAUAGUUGAUUUGUUAAAUUGAAAAGGUUAUUUAUAGCCUAUCUAGCUAUCUAGCUGUAGGGUUAGUUUGUUAGG
RNAcentral lists this small RNA (326 nucleotides) under Histoplasma ohiense. RNAcentral's name for it is "hypothetical lncRNA". The record is from RNAcentral. Lineage: Eukaryota; Fungi; Ascomycota; Eurotiomycetes; Onygenales; Ajellomycetaceae.